GGGUCAUUCAAAUUUCUGCCCUAUCAACUUUCGAUGGUAAGGUAUUGGCUUACCAUGGUUUCAACGGGUAACGGGGAAUUAGGGUUCGAUUCCGGAGAGGGAGCUGAGAAACGGCUACCACAUCCAAGGAAGGCAGCAGGCGCGCAAAUUACCCAAUCCCGACCGGGAAGGUAGUGACAAUAAAUACUGAUACAGGGCUCUUUUGGGUCUUGUAAUUGGAAUGAGUACAAUUUAAACCUCUUAACGAGGAACAAUUGGAGGGCACGUCUGGUGCCAGCAGCCGGGGUAAUUCCAGCUCCAAUAGCGUAUAUUAAAGUUGUUGCAGUUAAAAAGCUCGUAGUUG
This 343-nucleotide ribosomal RNA is filed under the name uncultured fungus. Its description in RNAcentral is "SSU rRNA". It matches the Rfam family "Eukaryotic small subunit ribosomal RNA", at positions 292 to 636 of the family's 1831-position model. The record is from RNAcentral. Lineage: Eukaryota; Fungi.